Molecule: ribosomal RNA, 274 nt
Filed under: uncultured bacterium
Lineage: Bacteria
Description: partial 16S ribosomal RNA
Rfam family: Bacterial small subunit ribosomal RNA
Source: RNAcentral
AUACAGAGGGUGCGCGCGUUAAUCGGAAUUACUGGGCGUAAAGCGCGCGUAGGCGGCUACUUAAGUCAGAUGUGAAAUCCCCGGGCUCAACCUGGGAACUGCAUCUGAUACUGGGUAGCUAGAGUUUAGGAGAGGGAAGUAGAAUUUCAGGUGUAGCGGUGAAAUGCAUAGAGAUCUGAAGGAAUACCAGUGGCGAAGGCGGCUUCCUGGCCUAAACCUGACGCUGAGGUGCGAAAGCGUGGGUAGCAAACGGGAUUAGAUACCCUUGUAGUCC